This 106-nucleotide small nuclear RNA is filed under the name Equus asinus (donkey). The record is from RNAcentral. Lineage: Eukaryota; Metazoa; Chordata; Mammalia; Perissodactyla; Equidae.
GUGCUCGCUUUGGCAGCACGUAUACUAAAAUGGGAACAAUACGGAGAAGAUUAGCAUGGCCCUGUGCAAGGAUGACUCGCAAGUUCAUGAAGCAUUCCAUAUUUUG